AUUGAAGUGAUGAUCCUUUCCCCAUAUUAUCGACAAUGGUUAUAAUAUGUUUAAUAUUUGUCUUUUAGAGAUAUAUCAAUCCAAGAGUCUGAUCUGU
Non-coding RNA from Thalictrum thalictroides, 97 nucleotides. NCBI's taxonomy places the organism in Eukaryota, Viridiplantae, Streptophyta, Magnoliopsida, Ranunculales, Ranunculaceae. The record is from the annotation of a GenBank genome assembly.